This 333-nucleotide ribosomal RNA is filed under the name Ommastrephes brevimanus. RNAcentral describes it as "partial 16S ribosomal RNA". Lineage: Eukaryota; Metazoa; Mollusca; Cephalopoda; Oegopsida; Ommastrephidae. The record is from RNAcentral.
UUGAGGCUAGAAUGAAUGGUUUGACGAAGGUUAAUCUGUCUCCAUCUUAUUUUUUAGAAGUUAAUUUUUAAAGUGAAAAAGCUUAAAUUUUUCAAAGGGACGAGAAGACCCUAAUGAGCUUAUAAUUUUAUUAUCAUUAUUUAAAACAUUUAGGUGGUGGUAUAUAAAUUUUAAUUGGGGUGAUUAAGGAAUAAAUUGUGUAUAGUAACUUCCUUAAAUUAGGUAUUUGUAGAUAAAGUAACCAAUGUAAUAUUGCUUAUAGUAUAGUUACCAUAGGGAUAACAGCGUAAUUUGUUUAGAGAGUUCUUAUUGAAAAACGAGAUUGCGACCUCA